GAUGAACGCUGGCGGCGUGCCUAAUACAUGCAAGUCGAGCGAACAGACGAGGAGCUUGCUCCUCUGACGUUAGCGGCGGACGGGUGAGUAACACGUGGAUAACCUACCUAUAAGACUGGGAUAACUUCGGGAAACCGGAGCUAAUACCGGAUAAUAUAUUGAACCGCAUGGUUCAAUAGUGAAAGACGGUUUUGCUGUCACUUAUAGAUGGAUCCGCGGCGCAUUAGCUAGUUGGUAAGGUAACGGCUUACCAAGGCAACGAUGCGUAGCCGACCUGAGAGGAUGAUCAGCCACACUGGAACUGAGACACGGUCCAGACUCCGACGGGAGGCAGCAGUGGGGAAUAUUGGACAAUGGGCGCAAGCCUGAUACAGCAAUACCGCGGGGGUGAAGAAGGCCUUCGGAUUGUAAAGCCCUUUUGUUGGGAAAGAAAAGCAGCAGGUGAAUACCCCGCUGUUCUGACGGUACCCAAAGAAUAAGCACCGGCUAACUUCGUG
This 497-nucleotide ribosomal RNA is filed under the name uncultured bacterium. RNAcentral describes it as "partial 16S ribosomal RNA". It matches the Rfam family "Bacterial small subunit ribosomal RNA", at positions 28 to 507 of the family's 1533-position model. The record is from RNAcentral.